AUUGAACGCUGGCGGCAGGCUUAACACAUGCAAGUCGAACGGUAACAGGAGAAAGCUUGCUUUCUUGCUGACGAGUGGCGGACGGGUGAGUAAUGCUUGGGAAUCUGGCUUAUGGAGGGGGAUAACGACGGGAAACUGUCGCUAAUACCGCGUAGAAUCGAGAGAUGAAAGUGCGGGACCGCAAGGCCGCAUGCCAUAGGAUGAGCCCAAGUGGGAUUAGGUAGUUGGUGGGGUAAAGGCCUACCAAGCCGACGAUCUCUAGCUGGUCUGAGAGGAUGACCAGCCACACCGGGACUGAGACACGGCCCGGACUCCUACGGGAGGCAGCAGUGGGGAAUAUUGCGCAAUGGGGGCAACCCUGACGCAGCCAUGCCGCGUGAAUGAAGAAGGCCUUCGGGUUGUAAAGUUCUUUCGGUAUUGAGGAAGGUUGUUGUGUUAAUAGCACGACAAAUUGACGUUAAAUACAGAAGAAGCACCGGCUAACUCCGUGCCAGCAGCCGCGGUAAUACGGAGGGUGCGAGCGUUAAUCGGAAUAACUGGGCGUAAAGGGCACGCAGGCGGACUUUUAAGUGAGGUGUGAAAUCCCCGGGCUUAACCUGGGAAUUGCAUUUCAGACUGGGAGUCUAGAGUACUUUAGGGAGGGGUAGAAUUCCACGUGUAGCGGUGAAAUGCGUAGAGAUGUGGAGGAGUACCGAAGGCGAAGGCAGCCCCUUGGGAAUGUACUGACGCUCAUGUGCGAAAGCGUGGGGAGCAAACAGG
This 759-nucleotide ribosomal RNA is filed under the name uncultured Aggregatibacter sp. RNAcentral's name for it is "bacterial SSU rRNA". It matches the Rfam family "Bacterial small subunit ribosomal RNA", at positions 28 to 776 of the family's 1533-position model. Lineage: Bacteria; Pseudomonadati; Pseudomonadota; Gammaproteobacteria; Pasteurellales; Pasteurellaceae. The record is from RNAcentral.